UUAGAUUCGUCUGAGGGUGAGAGUGGCGAACGGGUGAGUAACACGUUGGUGACCUGCCCCAGAGAGGGGGAUAACCAGUGGAAACGCUGGCUAAUACCCCGGAUGUCGAGGUGUUUAGAAAGCCUUGACUAAAGCUCCGGCGCUCUGGGAGGGGCCUGCGGCCCAUCAGCUAGUUGGUAAGGUAAUGGCUUACCAAGGCGAAGACGGGUAGGGGGCGUGAGAGCGUGACCCCCCACACUGGUACUGACACACGGACCAGAUACCUGCGGGUAGCAGCAGCAAGGAAUAUUGCCCAAUGGACGAAAGUCUGAGGCAGCAACGCCGCGUGGAGGAUGAAGGCUUUCGGGUUGUAAACUCCUUUUAUGGGGGAAGAGAAUGGACGGUACCCCAUGAAUAAGAUCCGGCUAACUACGUGCCAGCAGCCGCGGUAAAACGUAGGGAUCGACCGUUAUCCGGAUUUACUGGGCGUACAGCGCGUGCAGGCGGUUUUUUAAGUCGGACGUGAAAGCUCCUGGCUCAACUGGGAGAGGCCGUUCGAAACUAGAAGACUUGAGGGUGGUAGAGGCAAGUGGAAUUCCCGGUGUAGUGGUGAAAUGCGUAAAUAUCGGGAGGAACACCAGUGGCGAAGGCGGCUUGCUGGGCCAUUCCUGACGCUAAGACGCGAAAGCUAGGGGAGAGAACGGGAUUAGAAACCCCGGUAUUCCUAGCCGUAAACGAUGUCAACUAGGUGUAGGGGGUAUCCAACCCCUCUGUGCUGUAGCAAACGCGUUAAGUUGACCGCCUGGGGACUACGGCCGCAAGGCUAAAACUCAAAGGAAUUGACGGGGACCCGCACAAGCAGCGGAGCGUGUGGUUUAAUUCGAGGCUACGCGAAGAACCUUACCAGGGUUUGACAUGUACGUGGUAGGAAGCUGAAAGGUGACCGACCCUUCGGGGAGCGUACACAGGUGCUGCAUGGCUGUCGUCAGCUCGUGCCGUGAGGUGUUAGGUUAAGUCCUGUAACGAGCGCAACCCUCGUCGCUAGUUACAUGUGUCUAGCGAGACUGCCGGGAUAAGCCGGAGGAAGGUGGGGAUGACGUCAAGUCAGCAUGGCCCUUAUAUCCUGGGCUACACACACGCUACAAUGGCCGGUACAAUGGGUAGCCAAGCCGCGAGGCGGAGCAAUCCCCAAAGCCGGUCUCAGUUCGGAUGCAGGCUGCACUCGCCUGCAUGA
This 1213-nucleotide ribosomal RNA is filed under the name uncultured bacterium. RNAcentral describes it as "bacterial SSU rRNA". It matches the Rfam family "Bacterial small subunit ribosomal RNA", at positions 74 to 1323 of the family's 1533-position model. The record is from RNAcentral.